RNAcentral lists this ribosomal RNA (595 nucleotides) under Campylobacter jejuni. Its description in RNAcentral is "partial 23S ribosomal RNA". It matches the Rfam family "Bacterial large subunit ribosomal RNA", at positions 1 to 609 of the family's 2925-position model. The record is from RNAcentral. Lineage: Bacteria; Pseudomonadati; Campylobacterota; Epsilonproteobacteria; Campylobacterales; Campylobacteraceae.
AAAGGUAAGCUACUAAGAGCGAAUGGUGGAUGCCUUGACUGGUAAAGGCGAUGAAGGACGUACUAGACUGCGAUAAGCUACGGGGAGCUGUCAAGAAGCUUUGAUCCGUAGAUUUCCGAAUGGGGCAACCCAAUGUAUAGAGAUAUACAUUACCUAUAUAGGAGCGAACGAGGGGAAUUGAAACAUCUUAGUACCCUCAGGAAAAGAAAUCAAUAGAGAUUGCGUCAGUAGCGGCGAGCGAAAGCGCAAGAGGGCAAACCCAGUGCUUGCACUGGGGGUUGUAGGACUGCAAUGUGCAAGAGGUAAGUUUAGCAGAACAUUCUGGAAAGUAUAACCAUAGAGGGUGAUAGUCCCGUAUGCGAAAAACAAACCUUAGCUAGCAGUAUCCUGAGUAGGGCGGGACACGAGGAAUCCUGUCUGAAUCUGGGUCGACCACGAUCCAACCCUAAAUACUAAUACCAGAUCGAUAGUGCACAAGUACCGUGAGGGAAAGGUGAAAAGAACUGAGGUGAUCAGAGUGAAAUAGAACCUGAAACCAUUUGCUUACAAUCAUUCAGAGCCCUAUGUAGCAAUACAGGGUGAUGGACUGCCUUUU